UACGUAGGGUGCAAGCGUUGUCCGGAAUUAUUGGGCGUAAAGAGCUCGUAGGCGGUUCGUCGCGUCGGCUGUGAAAACCUGAGGCUCAACCUCAGGCCUGCAGUCGAUACGGGCGGACUUGAGUACUGCAGGGGAGACUGGAAUUCCUGGUGUAGCGGUGAAAUGCGCAGAUAUCGGAAGGAACACCAGUGGCGAAAAGCGGCUUCCUGGUCCAGCACCGACGUCAGGCACGAAAGCGUGGGGAGCAAACAGG
Molecule: ribosomal RNA, 253 nt
Filed under: uncultured bacterium
Lineage: Bacteria
Description: partial 16S ribosomal RNA
Rfam family: Bacterial small subunit ribosomal RNA
Source: RNAcentral